This 253-nucleotide ribosomal RNA is filed under the name uncultured bacterium. RNAcentral's name for it is "partial 16S ribosomal RNA". It matches the Rfam family "Bacterial small subunit ribosomal RNA", at positions 524 to 776 of the family's 1533-position model. The record is from RNAcentral.
UACGUAGGGGGCAAGCGUUGUCCGGAAUCAUUGGGCGUAAAGAGCGUGUAGGCGGCCCGGUAAGUCUGUUGUGAAAGUCCAGGGCUCAACCCUGGAAAGCCGAUGGAUACUGCCGGGCUAGAGUUCGGAAGAGGCGAGUGGAAUUCCUGGUGUAGCGGUGAAAUGCGCAGAUAUCAGGAGGAACACCAAUGGCGAAGGCAGCUCGCUGGGACGUGACUGACGCUGAGACGCGAAAGCGUGGGGAGCAAACAGG